Molecule: non-coding RNA, 47 nt
Filed under: Enterococcus hirae ATCC 9790
Lineage: Bacteria; Bacillati; Bacillota; Bacilli; Lactobacillales; Enterococcaceae
Description: PreQ1 (pre queuosine) riboswitch aptamer
Rfam family: PreQ1 (pre queuosine) riboswitch aptamer
About the family: This family is a bacterial riboswitch that binds to the metabolite preQ1, an intermediate in the biosynthesis of the modified nucleoside queuosine from GTP. One example of this riboswitch is located in the leader of the Bacillus subtilis ykvJKLM (queCDEF) operon which encodes four genes necessary for queuosine production. PreQ1 binding to the riboswitch aptamer is thought to induce premature transcription termination within the leader to down-regulate expression of these genes.
Source: Rfam by way of RNAcentral
ACAGCUGCGGUUCAUCAACCAUCCCGCAUUAAAAAAACUAGGAGAAA